CAGUAGCCGCGGUAAUACGGAGGAUCCAAGCGUUAUCCGGAAUCAUUGGGUUUAAAGGGUCCGUAGGCGGUUUAGUAAGUCAGUGGUGAAAGCCCAUCGCUCAACGGUGGAACGGCCAUUGAUACUGCUGAACUUGAAUUAUUAGGAAGUAACUAGAAUAUGUAGUGUAGCGGUGAAAUGCUUAGAGAUUACAUGGAAUACCAAUUGCGAAGGCAGGUUACUACUAAUUGAUUGACGCUGAUGGACGAAAGCGUGGGGAGCGAACAGGAUUAGAUACCCCUGUAGUCCCUGUCUCUUAUAC
RNAcentral lists this ribosomal RNA (301 nucleotides) under uncultured bacterium. RNAcentral describes it as "partial 16S ribosomal RNA". It matches the Rfam family "Bacterial small subunit ribosomal RNA", at positions 509 to 807 of the family's 1533-position model. The record is from RNAcentral.